AGAGUUUGAUCCUGGCUCAGAAUCAACGCUGGCGGCGUGCCUAACACAUGCAAGUCGGACGCGAAAGUCUCCGCAAGGGGGCGAGUAGAGUGGCGGACGGGUGAGUAACACGUGGGUGACCUGCCUGGUGGAGGGGGAUAACUUUUCGAAAGGGAAGCUAAUACCGCAUGAGCUCUCGGUAGCGAUAUUGAGAGGAAAGCCGAAAGGCGCCACUGGAGGGGCCCGCGCUCGAUUAGCUAGUUGGUGAGGUAAGGGCUCACCAAGGCGACGAUCGAUAGCCGGUCUGAGAGGACGGACGGCCACACUGGAACUGAGACACGGUCCAGACUCCUACGGGAGGCAGCAGUGGGGAAUUUUGCGCAAUGGGCGAAAGCCUGACGCAGCAACGCCGCGUGGAGGAUGAAGGUUUUCGGAUCGUAAACUCCUGUCCUCAGGGACGAAGAAAGUGACGGUACCUGGGGAGGAAGCCCCGGCUAACUCCGUGCCAGCAGCCGCGGUAAUACGUAGGGUGCGAGCGUUAAUCGGAAUUACUGGGCGUAAAGCGUGCGCGGGCGGUUUUGUAAGACAGAUGUGAAAUCCCCGGGCUUAACCUGGGAACUGCGUUUGUGACUGCAAGACUCGAGUGUGGCAGAGGGGGGUGGAGUUCCACGUGUAGCAGUGAAAUGCGUAGAGAUGUGGAGGAACACCGAUGGCGAAGGCAGCCCCCUGGGUUAACACUAACGCUCAUGCACGAAAGCGUGGGUAGCAAACAGGAUUAGAUACCCUGGUAGUCCACGCCCUAAACGAUGCGGACUAGGUGUUGGAGAAGGAGACUUCUUUAGUACCGCAGCUAACGCGUGAAGUUCGCCGCCUGGGGAGUACGGUCGCAAGAUUAAAACUCAAAGGAAUUGACGGGGACCCGCACAAGCGGUGGAUGAUGUGGAUUAAUUCGAUGCAACGCGAAAAACCUUACCUACCCUUGACAUGCCUGGAACCCUGGUGAGAGCUGGGGGUGCCCGAAAGGGAGCCGGGACACAGGUGCUGCAUGGCUGUCGUCAGCUCGUGUCGUGAGAUGUUGGGUUAAGUCCCGCAACGAGCGCAACCCUUGCCACUAGUUGCCAUCAUUUAGUUGGGCACUCUAGUGGGACUGCCGGUGACAAACCGGAGGAAGGUGGGGAUGACGUCAAGUCCUCAUGGCCCUUAUGGGUAGGGCUUCACACGUCAUACAAUGGUCGGUACAGAGGGCUGCCAACCCGCGAGGGGGAGCCAAUCCCAGAAAGCCGAUCGUAGUCCGGAUUGGAGUCUGCAACUCGACUCCAUGAAGUCGGAAUCGCUAGUAAUCGUGGAUCAGCAUGUCACGGUGAAUACGUUCCCGGAUCUUGUACACACCGCCCGUCACACCAUGGGAGUGGGUUUCACCAGAAGUAGGUAGCCUAACCGCAAGGGGGGCGCUUACCACGGUGGGAUUCAUGACUGGGGUGAAGUCGUAACAAGGUAUCC
Molecule: ribosomal RNA, 1479 nt
Filed under: uncultured bacterium
Lineage: Bacteria
Description: bacterial SSU rRNA
Rfam family: Bacterial small subunit ribosomal RNA
Source: RNAcentral